This 542-nucleotide ribosomal RNA is filed under the name Plasmodium relictum. RNAcentral describes it as "bacterial SSU rRNA". It matches the Rfam family "Eukaryotic small subunit ribosomal RNA", at positions 1306 to 1673 of the family's 1831-position model. Lineage: Eukaryota; Apicomplexa; Aconoidasida; Haemosporida; Plasmodiidae. The record is from RNAcentral.
AUGAUUUGUCUGGUUAAUUCCGAUAACGAACGAGAUCUUAACCUGCUAAUUAGCGGUAAAUACAACAUAUUCUUAAGUAAAUAAGAAUAUAGAUAAAAAUAACAAAUAAGAGAAUAUAUUAAGAUGUUAUUAUAUAUAAUGUCUUAUUCCCUGUUCUUCUUGUAUUGUUUUUUUAUUCUAUUUCUUUUUUUACGUAAGAAUGUAUUUACUUGAUUGUAAAGCUUCUUAGAGGAACAUUGUGUGUCUAACACAAGGAAGUUUAAGGCAACAACAGGUCUGUGAUGUCCUUAGAUGAACUAGGCUGCACGCGUGCUACACUGAUAUAUAUAACGAGUUAUUAAAAGUAUAUCUUUGUAUAUAUAUAUCUGUAUAUAUAUACAAAAGAUAUAAUUUUCCUCCACUGAAAAGUGUAGGUAAUCUUUAUCAAUAUAUAUCGUGAUGGGGAUAGAUUAUUGCAAUUAUUAAUCUUGAACGAGGAAUGCCUAGUAAUCAUGAUUCAUCAGAUUGUGCUGAGUACGUCCCUGCCCUUUGUACACACCGCC